Molecule: ribosomal RNA, 492 nt
Filed under: uncultured archaeon
Lineage: Archaea
Description: bacterial SSU rRNA
Rfam family: Archaeal small subunit ribosomal RNA
Source: RNAcentral
GGACUAAGACAUGCGAGUUGUGCGUCUCUAAGCCAUGGUAGAGACGCGGCGUACGGCUCAGUAACAUGUGGCUAACCUACCCUUAGGACGGAGACACCCCGGGAAACUGGGGCUAAUACCCGGUAGAUUAGGAGGCCUGGAAUGGUUCCUAGUCGAAAAGGCGUUGAAACCAUGCUUUUCGACGUCGCCUAAGGAUGGGGCCGCGCCUGAUCAGGUUGUUGGUGGGGUAACGGCUCACCAAGCCUAUAACCGGUACGGGCCGUGAGAGCGGGAGCCCGGAGAUGGGCACUGAGACAAGGGCCCAGGCCCUACGGGGCGCAGCAGUCGCGAAAACUCCGCAAUGCGCGAAAGCGUGACGGGGCUACCCCGAGUGCCGUCCGCUGAGGAUGGCUUUUCCCCGGUGUAAUGAGCCGAGGGAAUAAGGAGAGGGCAAGACUGGUGUCAGCCGCCGUGGUAAUACCAGCUCUCCGAGUGGUACGGAUGAUUAUUGGG